Myotis lucifugus (little brown bat) is the source of this 73-nucleotide non-coding RNA. Lineage: Eukaryota; Metazoa; Chordata; Mammalia; Chiroptera; Vespertilionidae. The record is from Rfam.
GCUGUUUUGGCUCAGUGGAUAGAGCAUUGGCCUUCGGACUCAAGGGUCCCAGGUUCGAUUCCGGUCAAGGGCA